This 69-nucleotide transfer RNA is filed under the name Oreolalax rhodostigmatus (red-spotted toothed toad). Its description in RNAcentral is "tRNA-Met". It matches the Rfam family "tRNA". Rfam says of the family: Transfer RNA (tRNA) molecules are approximately 80 nucleotides in length. Their secondary structure includes four short double-helical elements and three loops (D, anti-codon, and T loops). The record is from RNAcentral. Lineage: Eukaryota; Metazoa; Chordata; Amphibia; Anura; Megophryidae.
UGUAGAGUACGCUAAAUAAGCUUCUGGGCCCAUACCCCAAAAAUGAAGGUUAAAUCCCUUCCUUUACAA